UUAGUCGCUGGGUAUAGACCCGAAACCGGGCGAUCUAUCCAUGAGCAGGUUGAAGGUUAGGUAACACUGACUGGAGGACCGAACCCACUCCCGUUGAAAAGGUAGGGGAUGACUUGUGGAUCGGAGUGAAAGGCUAAUCAAGCUCGGAGAUAGCUGGUUCUCCUCGAAAGCUAUUUAGGUAGCGCCUCAUGUAUCACUCUGGGGGGUAGAGCACUGUUUCGGCUAGGGGGUCAUCCCGACUUACCAAACCGAUGCAAACUCCGAAUACCCAGAAGUGCCGAGCAUGGGAGACACACGGCGGGUGCUAACGUCCGUCGUGAAAAGGGAAACAACCCAGACCGCCAGCUAAGGUCCCAAAGUUGUGGUUAAGUGGUAAACGAUGUGGGAAGGCUUAGACAGCUAGGAGGUUGGCUUAGAAGCAGCCAUCCUUUAAAGAAAGCGUAAUAGCUCACUAGUCGAGUCGGCCUGCGCGGAAGAUGUAACGGGGCUCAAACCACACACCGAAGCUGCGGGUGUCACGUAAGUGACGCGGUAGAGGAGCGUUCUGUAAGCCUGUGAAGGUGAGUUGAGAAGCUUGCUGGAGGUAUCAGAAGUGCGAAUGCUGACAUGAGUAACGACAAUGGGUGUGAAAAACACCCACGCCGAAAGACCAAGGGUUCCUGCGCAACGUUAAUCGACGCAGGGUUAGUCGGUUCCUAAGGCGAGGCUGAAAAGCGUAGUCGAUGGGAAACAGGUUAAUAUUCCUGUACUUCUGGUUACUGCGAUGGAGGGACGGAGAAGGCUAGGCCAGCUUGGCGUUGGUUGUCCAAGUUUAAGGUGGUAGGCUGAAAUCUUAGGUAAAUCCGGGGUUUCAAGGCCGAGAGCUGAUGACGAGUCGUCUUUUAGAUGACGAAGUGGUUGAUGCCAUGCUUCCAAGAAAAGCUUCUAAGCUUCAGGUAACCAGGAACCGUACCCCAAACCGACACAGGUGGUCGGGUAGAGAAUACCAAGGCGCUUGAGAGAACUCGGGUGAAGGAACUAGGCAAAAUGGCACCGUAACUUCGGGAGAAGGUGCGCCGGCUAGGGUGAAGGAUUUACUCCGUAAGCUCUGGCUGGUCGAAGAUACCAGGCCGCUGCGACUGUUUAUUAAAAACACAGCACUCUGCAAACACGAAAGUGGACGUAUAGGGUGUGACGCCUGCCCGGUGCCGGAAGGUUAAUUGAUGGGGUUAGCGCAAGCGAAGCUCUUGAUCGAAGCCCCGGUAAACGGCGGCCGUAACUAUAACGGUCCUAAGGUAGCGAAAUUCCUUGUCGGGUAAGUUCCGACCUGCACGAAUGGCGUAACGAUGGCGGCGCUGUCUCCACCCGAGACUCAGUGAAAUUGAAAUCGCUGUGAAGAUGCAGUGUAUCCGCGGCUAGACGGAAAGACCCCGUGAACCUUUACUGUAGCUUUGCACUGGACUUUGAGCCUGCUUGUGUAGGAUAGGUGGGAGGCUUUGAAGCGUGGACGCCAGUUCGCGUGGAGCCAUCCUUGAAAUACCACCCUGGCAUGCUUGAGGUUCUAACUCUGGUCCGUAAUCCGGAUCGAGGACAGUGUAUGGUGGGCAGUUUGACUGGGGCGGUCUCCUCCUAAAGAGUAACGGAGGAGUACGAAGGUGCGCUCAGACCGGUCGGAAAUCGGUCGCAGAGUAUAAAGGCAAAAGCGCGCUUGACUGCGAGACAGACACGUCGAGCAGGUACGAAAGUAGGUCUUAGUGAUCCGGUGGUUCUGUAUGGAAGGGCCAUCGCUCAACGGAUAAAAGGUACUCCGGGGAUAACAGGCUGAUACCGCCCAAGAGUUCAUAUCGACGGCGGUGUUUGGCACCUCGAUGUCGGCUCAUCACAUCCUGGGGCUGAAGCCGGUCCCAAGGGUAUGGCUGUUCGCCAUUUAAAGUGGUACGCGAGCUGGGUUUAGAACGUCGUGAGACAGUUCGGUCCCUAUCUGCCGUGGACGUUUGAGAUUUGAGAGGGGCUGCUCCUAGUACGAGAGGACCGGAGUGGACGAACCUCUGGUGUUCCGGUUGUCACGCCAGUGGCAUUGCCGGGUAGCUAUGUUCGGAAAAGAUAACCGCUGAAAGCAUCUAAGCGGGAAACUUGCCUCAAGAUGAGAUCUCACUGGGAACUUGAUUCCCCUGAAGGGCCGUCGAAGACUACGACGUUGAUAGGCUGGGUGUGUAAGCGUUGUGAGGCGUUGAGCUAACCAGUACUAAUUGCCCGUGAGGCUUGACCAU
This 2249-nucleotide ribosomal RNA is filed under the name Pseudomonas aeruginosa. RNAcentral's name for it is "partial 23S ribosomal RNA". It matches the Rfam family "Bacterial large subunit ribosomal RNA", at positions 696 to 2925 of the family's 2925-position model. The record is from RNAcentral. Lineage: Bacteria; Pseudomonadati; Pseudomonadota; Gammaproteobacteria; Pseudomonadales; Pseudomonadaceae.